Herpailurus yagouaroundi (jaguarundi) is the source of this 196-nucleotide long non-coding RNA. RefSeq lists it as uncharacterized. Lineage: Eukaryota; Metazoa; Chordata; Mammalia; Carnivora; Felidae. The transcript has 2 exons. The record is from RefSeq and is a predicted model, not a curated record.
CAAAAUGGAGAAGAGAAAGGAGAAACUGAGGAUGGCAACCCCCCUCCGUGGGAACCCUGGGAAAGGCGGCACUGCAGGGCGUGGGCCGCUAGCAAGAACCGAUGGCCUUCCACCCCAGCAUUCGGUCUGCCCAGGCUAGCCUCAGUUUCCCCAUCUGGCCAGAAGCCCGAGAUGGCUACUUCCAGGGGGGUGUGGG